AGUGAACGCUGGCGGUAGGCCUAACACAUGCAAGUCGAACGGCAGCACAGUAUGAGCUUGCUCUUACGGGUGGCGAGUGGCGGACGGGUGAGGAAUACAUCGGAAUCUACUUUUUCGUGGGGGAUAACGUAGGGAAACUUACGCUAAUACCGCAUACGACCUACGGGUGAAAGCAGGGGAUCUUCGGACCUUGCGCGAUUGAAUGAGCCGGUGUCGGAUUAGCUGGUUGGCGGGGUAAAGGCCCACCAAGGCGACGAUCCGUAGCUGGUCUGAGAGGAUGAUCAGCAACACUGAAACUGAGACACGGUCCAGACUCCUACGGGAGGCAGAAGUGGGAAUAUUGGACAAUGGGCGCAAGCCUGAUCCAGCCAUACCGCGUGGGUGAAGAAGGCCUUCGGGUUGUAAAGCCCUUUUGUUGGGAAAGAAAAGCAGCAGGUUAAUACCCCGCUGUUCUGACGGUACCCAAAGAAUAAGCACCGGCUAACUUCGUG
Molecule: ribosomal RNA, 491 nt
Filed under: uncultured bacterium
Lineage: Bacteria
Description: partial 16S ribosomal RNA
Rfam family: Bacterial small subunit ribosomal RNA
Source: RNAcentral